GGAUGAAUAUUCGGCAAUGGGGGCAGCCCUGACCGAGCAACGCCGCGUGGAGGAUGACGGUUUUUGGAUUGUAAACUCCUUUUCUGUGGGAAGAGCAAGGACGGUACCACAGGAAUAAGUCACGGCUAACUACGUGCCAGCAGCCCCGGUAAUACGUAGGUGGCAAGCGUUAUCCGGAAUUACUGGGCGUAAAGCGCACGCAGGUGGUUUGCUAAGUUCGACGUGAAAGCGCCUGGCUUAACUGGGCGAG
Molecule: ribosomal RNA, 250 nt
Filed under: uncultured bacterium
Lineage: Bacteria
Description: partial 16S ribosomal RNA
Rfam family: Bacterial small subunit ribosomal RNA
Source: RNAcentral